Cryptomeria japonica (Japanese cedar) is the source of this 553-nucleotide long non-coding RNA. RefSeq lists it as uncharacterized. NCBI's taxonomy places the organism in Eukaryota, Viridiplantae, Streptophyta, Pinopsida, Cupressales, Cupressaceae. The transcript is spliced from 2 exons. The record is from RefSeq and is a predicted model, not a curated record.
UUUUGUUUUCUCUUCCAAAUGAAAAUACGCCCAAUCUCAUUAUGAGCAUUCAAGAGGAUUGGCAUUGAGAGACCACCGGGCCUCCAGGGUUAUGUUAUACUUGCGGCUACCCUAGAUCUCUGACUUUUUUUGACCUUGGCUUGGUUCAGGGCUCCUUUCAAAAUUUACAAUGAAAACCUCAGUAGGCACUGAAAUGAAUAUUCAUAGGAAGCAGGAAUGGAAAUAGACGGCACAUUUGGUUGACAAUGAGAACUUUUCUCCCCAUUUGGAAUAGGAGGCAUGAUGGCUAUAAUGUAAAUUCCUGCCAGUCGUACCAGUCCGUAUGGUAUAAAUACUAAAGUUGUAAUAUGACAAUUGCUUUAUAAAAAGCUUGAAAGAAAGGCGAGAACUUUGGCAGAGAAAAAAAUCUUCGUUUAUGCUAUUGAGGGGUUAUUAGGAAGCAUUAUGUUUUUAUUCCCUCUGAAUUUCACGAGGCAUUUUAUAAAAUGAUGAUUAUGAAUUUAAUGUUUUUUGUGGUAAGAAAUGUUAAAAUAAGUCAAACUCAAUUUGUAUU